CCGGACUUUAAUGAAGGACUGACCCAAAGAAGAGCAAAAGUUCACGAAAUACAAAUAAGGGUCGAAUAUUAAAAUACCCAGAAUCAAGUGGAAGUAAUGAAAGUUCCAAAAAUACGAUGGAAACUGCCGAUAAACAGAAAUAAUCCGACCGCAGCAGGAAAUUUAAAGGCCAGAUUAUGUAGCAACUACCUACUCAAACCACGUUCAAAAGGACAAAUUGAUUCUAUAGACUGACUCUGAUGAAGAGAAAAAACUUAGUGAUUAUUGGCAAUAAGAAGAUUGUUUAAAAGGAGAAUGCUUUAGAGAGGUGUACAUACAUAUGCUUUAACUUUUUUUAGUGCAUCACCCUGUAUAUAGUUAGCUUUAAUUCAGCUUUUUACCAUUUUUUUCGGGAAACGACUGAGGUGUUGCCUGAACGGGAAAUCCGCUUCAAUGCCAAGCUGGGACAUUCAACAAAUUAUUCUCAAAAUAAAGUAGAAAUGGAAAUGAAAAUUUCCUUAGUAAAGGCAAAAAUUAUGUAUCACCGCUCUAUGUAAUAUCGAACGAGUAUCCAACUGUACGGUUGUGUGGAGUCGAGUCAUUUCUACAGAAUCUAUUGCCUAGUUUAAAUCGUAGUCAGUGGGUCAGUGCCAACUAGUUCCAUACUAGAUCUAGGCAAAUACAAUUUUGAUCAUUAGUGCACAUUUGCGAACCGAAUUUUUCAAUUUGGUGACAGAAACCCGCACUGCAGUUAAAAAUGACUUCCCCAGCACUAAACAAUGGCAAUGGCCAAAAAGAGUCAUCCAACAAAGGAUCGAAUGCCACUCUUCCGCAAUCGCCUGCCAGAAGUGCAAAUGAAGCAUCCGGCUCCAGUUCUUCCACUUCUGCACUAGUGGCGCCUUGGAGAGUCUUCAAAAUGGUAAACUUGCUGAUGAAGCAACAUUGUUAAAAUACAAAGGCCGAGAUGACUUGAACCGCCCGAAUCCAGGUUUAAUUUUAGUCGCGAAAAUAGCAUAUCAAUUUUUUCAAAUUUAACAAAUCGUUCUGCAAUACAUUCAUCCCAUCCCAUCAAUCGAUCAAGCGCUUUAUAGAAUAUUCAGAAGCAACCGCACUCUAGAGUUACCCUAAUCAGUUUUCCCUGAUACGAGCAAUUUAAUAGUUCCGCCAAAAAAACUAGUGUUUUCCAUAUAUCAGGUUUUUUAUGCUUGAAGUUCUAGAAACUUAAGAUAUUUACUGUUAGAGAUACUAAGUUUCCAUAGAAAUAGAUAGAUAUAGGUACAAAGUAUAUUGGUAGAGAUUUAAGCAUAUUUUCUAGUUCGCGAAAUUAUUAAAGUUGUUAAAUUUUCCUAGACUAUACGCACUUAUAUCUAUUACCUAUACACAUAUGACAAUAUUAUUAUUAAGUAAAUCGUUGGUUUGUUGUUUAUAAAUACAAUACAAGAUGUUAGUGUGGAUCUAGUCCAUAAAGUUACACUAUUGUAGAAUUUGGAGAAUAUUUUUUAUCCCGCGAAUUGUUUUGUGAAGUCUUUCAUAAAAAAUUGGCCACAUAUUAUUCUGCACAGUAACCGAGUUAAUUAUUUCUGUAUUACUGUUGCGCUACAGUGAGUUUAGUUAAGAAUAAUUGAUAUAAUGGCCAAUAAUCAGCAAUUUAUUACAUUUAUAACUGUAACAUUUCGGUUGACCGUUAAAGGUAAUAUGCUGAACUGAGAUAAAUUAUUCUUGCAUAUUUUUAUAAACAUAUUUUGCUAAUGUGCCGGAUGAAGUAAACAAUUAAAUUCGACAACUUCAAUACCUGUAAAUUGUUAAAUAAAUUAUCUGUUACACCGUUGAAAGUCUUUUAGAUUUAUUAAUUUAGUUUCUAAGAUGAAUUCAACAUAUUUAACCGAUAGUGUUCUAAACGUUAUUAAAUUGAGCAUUCAAUUAA
Molecule: long non-coding RNA, 1903 nt
Organism: Dendroctonus ponderosae (mountain pine beetle)
Lineage: Eukaryota; Metazoa; Arthropoda; Insecta; Coleoptera; Curculionidae
Exons: 2
Source: RefSeq, a predicted model, not a curated record